CUACAUCUCUUUCUCCUCAAACUCAUGAUUCACCGUAGAUGAAAUCUGGAAAAGCUAUAUGAAUCAAACUUGAGAAAUCGAGAAAAGGGUCCUUUGGUUAUCUUCACUAGGCUAAGGUUGCUUUAGUUCAAGACUUCAAGGGUUCGUUUUUGCUGUGACUUGUGAGCGUUUGUGCUGUGAGUCUGUGAGCGUUCAAGUCUUCAAAUAACAAGAAGAUGGAGAAAUGGGUUGAUUUGAGAUUAAAGGAGGAUGAUGAAGUUGGUUUCUAUCAUUUUUUUAUGGUUUGUAGUUUUUUUAUGAAGCAAACUUUAUGUACUUUCAGA
Long non-coding RNA from Brassica oleracea var. oleracea, 323 nucleotides. RefSeq lists it as uncharacterized. The transcript has 3 exons. The record is from RefSeq and is a predicted model, not a curated record. NCBI's taxonomy places the organism in Eukaryota, Viridiplantae, Streptophyta, Magnoliopsida, Brassicales, Brassicaceae.